This 426-nucleotide unclassified non-coding RNA is filed under the name Hevea brasiliensis (rubber tree). The record is from RNAcentral. Lineage: Eukaryota; Viridiplantae; Streptophyta; Magnoliopsida; Malpighiales; Euphorbiaceae.
CAACAUUUCAAGCGCAACUGUGUACAUCAAAGAGCCAAUACAAGAUGGCUGCCUUUAAAAAUUUCCUCCAACUGGAUUUUCAAAAUGACAUUCAACAAUUGCAUUCAGCUAAACUCAACUGUACAGUGUAUGGUAAUAUUUAUACAGGUUUUGAGUUUAUUCGCUUUCACCCUCUUUGUUUGACGAUGUUACUGUGUGCGGUGAUAAAGUUGUUACGAUNAGAAGUUGAACUGCAGCAAUGGCAGGAAUCUUCUCUCGUAGUUUUUGUGUGACAGCUACUCGAACAGUCAUGACGCCAGCUGCUGGACCUGUGAUUCGGAUUUUCACUAUUGGCUCUUCGAUUGCCACUAGCUCAAGAGAUCCUCCAGCCGCCCCAACAAGGUAUGGCCUAAUUUCCUCAAGCACCUUCUCUAUAUUUUCUUCAUU